ACUGUUUACUUUAAUCCAUCCCACUGGGGGUGGAGUCCCCUGAAUCCAACGCACUUUCGUUCCUCCACUUGUGACCUUCCUGCUUAACGUAGCUACCGUCGGGAUGUGGGGAAGUUUCGGUUCGUCUUCAUUCCGCUCUGACAUCGCCUGAGGAUUCUCGUCCGAACCAAACCACAUAUAAACUGAACACGUAGUUCCUCAACAAAAUCCACGCGUUCAACUAUGCUUAUGUAAAUAAUAUACCCGCAGAGUUCUGAAGGCCCAUGCGGUAUCACCAUCCAAGACCGCCAGUAGGGAAGGCGAGGGAGAACUACAUAACUCAAGCUUGGCCGACGAUAGCAUGAGAGCUCUCCAUGCCAUAAAACACAUAUAAAUGUUCCUCCUUCAGUAAAUAUCUCUCUGUGCCCAAAGGACCUUGGACCGCAGUAAACAACACUGCAAGAUUAAGUCUAGUAGAGCAAUCAUCACGGGUAAUCAGCACAUAGACCUCCAUCGAGUCGAGCUCGACGAUAAUAUGGCGAUAGCCUUUCUUCCAACACGGCUCCAAUGCCAAGCGUACCCCCCAUAGCUCGGCUCAAUCGACUUAGCUCUACAGAUAAUCCGAGCAAAUCCAAGAAUCCACUGACCCUUGUCAUCCCGCAGCAAUCCACCCUCUCCUAUUGGUCCGGGGUUGCCGGAUCAUGCGUAUUCCUUUCCAAACUCUUGAGAAUUGUUGGUUGAUGCAAGAUCUUAGGCUUCCUUUAUUUUGGGAAUUUAGCUUUAUCCUUUAGGGAUAUCUUUCAAAACUAAAAAUCAAUGAUUGUGCAUGUUUUGAGAGCCCCCUCUCAUAUGGUGUAGUCAAUUACUAUGGUGCAUCAUUUUUACCGAAA
Punica granatum (pomegranate) is the source of this 869-nucleotide non-coding RNA. Lineage: Eukaryota; Viridiplantae; Streptophyta; Magnoliopsida; Myrtales; Lythraceae. The record is from RefSeq and is a predicted model, not a curated record.